GCCCACUGGGAUAGCUCAGUCAGUAGAGCAUGAGAUUCAAUCUCGUAGUUGUGGGUUCAAGCCCCAUGUUGGGCA
Molecule: non-coding RNA, 75 nt
Organism: Podarcis lilfordi (Lilford's wall lizard)
Lineage: Eukaryota; Metazoa; Chordata; Lepidosauria; Squamata; Lacertidae
Source: the annotation of a GenBank genome assembly